This 1079-nucleotide ribosomal RNA is filed under the name Perennicordyceps ryogamiensis. RNAcentral describes it as "SSU rRNA". It matches the Rfam family "Eukaryotic small subunit ribosomal RNA", at positions 59 to 1150 of the family's 1831-position model. Lineage: Eukaryota; Fungi; Ascomycota; Sordariomycetes; Hypocreales; Polycephalomycetaceae. The record is from RNAcentral.
CUGAGUAUAAGCAUUAUACAGCGAAACUGCGAAUGGCUCAUUAUAUAAGUUAUCGUUUAUUUGAUAGUACCUUACUACUUGGAUAACCGUGGUAAUUCUAGAGCUAAUACAUGCUGAAAAUCCCGACUUCGGAAGGGAUGUAUUUAUUAGAUUAAAAACCAAUGCCCUUCUGGGCUCUCUGGUGAUUCAUGAUAACUUCUCGAAUCGCACGGCCUCGCGCCGGCGAUGGUUCAUUCAAAUUUCUUCCCUAUCAACUUUCGAUGUUUGGGUAGUGGCCAAACAUGGUUGCAACGGGUAACGGAGGGUUAGGGCUCGACCCCGGAGAAGGAGCCUGAGAAACGGCUACUACAUCCAAGGAAGGCAGCAGGCGCGCAAAUUACCCAAUCCCGACACGGGGAGGUAGUGACAAUAAAUACUGAUACAGGGCUCUUUCGGGUCUUGUAAUUGGAAUGAGUACAAUUUAAAUCCCUUAACGAGGAACAAUUGGAGGGCAAGUCUGGUGAACGCAGCCGCGGUAAUUCCAGCUCCAAUAGCGUAUAUUAAAGUUGUUGUGGUUAAAAAGCUCGUAGUUGAACCUUGGGCCUGGCUGGCCGGUCCGCCUCACCGCGUGUACUGGUCCGGCCGGGCCUUUCCCUCUGUGGAACCCCAUGCCCUUCACUGGGCGUGGCGGGGAAACAGGACGUUUACUUUGAAAAAAUUAGAGUGCUCCAGGCAGGCCUAUGCUCGAAUACAUUAGCAUGGAAUAAUGAAAUAGGACGCGCGGUUCUAUUUUGUUGGUUUCUAGGACCGCCAUAAUGAUUAAUAGGGACAGUCGGGGGCAUCAGUAUUCAAUUGUCAGAGGUGAAAUUCUUGGAUUUAUUGAAGACUAACUACUGCGAAAGCAUUUGCCAAGGAUGUUUUCAUUAAUCAGGAACGAAAGUUAGGGGAUCGAAGACGAUCAGAUACCGUCGUAGUCUUAACCAUAAACUAUGCCGACUAGGGAUCGGACGAUGUUAUUUUUUGACUCGUUCGGCACCUUACGAGAAAUCAAAGUGCUUGGGCUCCAGGGGGAGUAUGGUCGCAAGGCUGAAACUUAAAGG